Molecule: transfer RNA, 76 nt
Filed under: Candidatus Yanofskybacteria bacterium RIFCSPHIGHO2_02_FULL_44_36b
Lineage: Bacteria; Candidatus Yanofskyibacteriota
Also listed under: 4 other names
Description: tRNA-Lys
Rfam family: tRNA
About the family: Transfer RNA (tRNA) molecules are approximately 80 nucleotides in length. Their secondary structure includes four short double-helical elements and three loops (D, anti-codon, and T loops). Further hydrogen bonds mediate the characteristic L-shaped molecular structure. tRNAs have two regions of fundamental functional importance: the anti-codon, which is responsible for specific mRNA codon recognition, and the 3' end, to which the tRNAs corresponding amino acid is attached (by aminoacyl-tRNA synthetases). tRNAs cope with the degeneracy of the genetic code in two manners: having more than one tRNA (with a specific anti-codon) for a particular amino acid; and 'wobble' base-pairing, i.e. permitting non-standard base-pairing at the 3rd anti-codon position.
Source: RNAcentral
CCGCCCUUAGCUCAGUUGGUAGAGCACCUGCCUUUUAAGCAGAGGGUCGCAGGUUCGAGUCCUGCAGGGCGGACAA